This 18273-nucleotide unclassified non-coding RNA is filed under the name Leishmania donovani. RNAcentral describes it as "gene:LdHU3.19.1360(CDS-product:Ankyrin_repeats_(3 _copies)/Ankyrin_repeat_putative)". Lineage: Eukaryota; Euglenozoa; Kinetoplastea; Trypanosomatida; Trypanosomatidae. The record is from RNAcentral.
GCACACGCACACGGUUUGAAAGGGAGAUAGACGCGCGCGUGCACCGCCACAAUCGUGCCGCUGCCCUCAUAGAUGUAUUUUCGCCCUGCAUCGUCCGUGUGAAUCCUUGUCCUGCUUGUGUGUCCGUGUUGCUGUGGCUUUGCUGGUGUGGUGGUGGUGCUCGCUGUGCGCUCUACUCUCCCCACACACACGCAAGCCAUCCCUCCCCCUCUCUGCGUGCACGCCUGCGGCAUUGUAGCUCCCCUCUUGUUAUUGUUUUCGCAAGCAGGGGCGGUGUGGGCGCUCUCUGAAGCUGUUUUCGCAUGUAUGGAUGUACACUACCUCACCAACACCGCCACCCCCGACUUCAACUCAUCGCCCACCACCAACGCCAUCAUAGCCAUUGGCCCCCUCCUCUCCCUCCGACACACAAACACACACUCGCAACCUGCAGUCACUGAGCUCCUGUUGCGUUCUUACAGCUGUUCUUGUCACGCUUUUCAGUUCGCUUCUUCUGUUGCCCCCCCCACCCCCGAUCACUGCACCGCAGGGUUGCGUGCUUCUCCUCGAAUAUCCCCAUCGCAUCGACGGCACUGUGUGCGCGCCCCUCCUCUUCCUCCCUCGUUUCCUUCAAUCGACUGUCGGCUGAGACCCAUUCUCUGGCUGUGCGAGCAAGAUGCACACCUCCAUGGAGACGGCGCCUAAGAUGGCGUUGCGAGAGCCGGACGCCGUGCGGUGCGCACCGCAGAGACCAUUCAACGAGUCUUUGCAGGCCGAGGCGAUCACUUACCUCAUGCACGAGCGGGAAGCCGAUGCGUCGGCGGAGCUGUCAAAGGGUGGCCUGCACUCCUUGGCGAUGCGCCGAGAGCAGACUCUGGUGCCGCCUGAGCUGCUAAUGGAGCUGAAAGACGGCGAGCAAGCCGACGCAUCCGUGGCACUGCCGGAAAAGCUGAACCCGUGCACGUGCACCACCGCUGCGUUCGACGAGUGGCUCCGCGCCGUCGUGAAGUCGAUUCCUGCCCCAGCUGAGGCGGCGGACGCAGUGCAGCGCAGGAACUGUUGUGGCUCUCGCACCAUCUGUGGUCGAGCGAGGCCUGGCGGCGUUACAGGGGUGUCCCGUCAGCAGGCCCUCUACAGGGCACUGGAGGUGCUCGAGGCGGCCACGCGUUUGCUGCAGCGGCACGCCGUACUCUGCCGCGGCCGAAGCCGCCUUCUGCACGCCUACUACGACGCGCUCGAGGAGGACAUCCACCAGCAUGCAGUGUCCGUGUCGGCAUCGACAGCAACGAGAGGCACCGUCCAACCCACGGCGGAAAUACAGCUUCAGCAGCUGCUGCCGCCGGAGCAGCACAAGUAUUCUCCGUUCCACUACCACCUGCGCUUGUACAAACGCGGCGCGCCGCUUCAUCACUAUACACAGGAGCAGGAGAAACUGCAAAGCCGUUUGGAGAAGGUGUACUACGUGCUGCUGAAGCUCGAGGAGGUGGAGGGGUUAAGCAACUCGAUUCUAGUCGAAGGUCAGGCGACGUCGCUGCUGGCUCAGCAGCGGCGGCAGAGCACGGACGCUCUGCAGGGCGGCAGCACAAAGGCGGGGUCCAUAAUGCGCGCCAACGUGAGGAAGGACGGCAUAGGUGCAGGGAGCAGCGCGGACUUACAUGAUGCACUCACGCUCACCGGCGGCGGCGGCGGCGGUGGCGCGCGCGGAGAUGGAGAAAGUGAGCCCGCGAUGAACGAGCCGACUUUGCAGUUUUCGCGACGGCUUGUCGGAAUGGAGCGGCGGGUGCGACGGCUGCGGCAACAGCUGCGCCUGCCGCUUCCUGUGUCGGAGGUGACGUCUCGCCUGCGCAACGAGCUCAUUCUCUCCUUUUCCGCCCGUGUUCUGGCGCUGCGGGAGCCCGCUCCGUUCACAUCCGAGAUCUACGUGACCUCCGCCGCCCCUGCCGCGUCGCCGUCGCCACAGGCCGCCCCACGGCCCCCUGGCGACGGCGCACAUCAUCAGAGCUCGCACUCCAUCAGCGCCUUCGUCGAGUGGUACGUUCAACGUGUCAUGGACCCGCUCGCCAUCUCGCAGCUUCUCAGCAUCGUCCCGCGGGAAUAUGUGGUGACGACCACGUGCCGCCUUGUCUACGCAUGUGAGGCGCACGCCUCGCUACGCUCGUCGCGCGCUCUCCCAGACCUGGGCCCCGUGCUGCUGCGUGCUGUGGCCGAAGGCCGCGCCGACGCCGUGGCGCAGCUGCUUCUCUCCUCAAGCGUUUCCUACGGCAGCGUCCUUUCCCACCCGGUGGACUGUCACACGUGCUUCUUCGCGGGCCUCCUUGGCGGCCAGAUCGACGUGCUGGCACGGCUGGUGGAGCAGCAGAGCUGGAAUGUGAACGCGCUGCACGUGCUGCUCUUCAUGAGCGCCCCAUGGAACAUAGCCGCGGCACCGACAGCGGUGAUGUCGUCGCGCGGGUGCUACGUAUACCAGCAAGCGCUGGUGGAGCGCGUACAGGCGUUCCUCAGCGUAGCAGAGCAGGUGCUUGCGGCCCGCAGUCAGGAGCCCGCGUACAAGUUGCCUCUCUCCUUGGAAGAGAACGCCACGGAUGCAGCGAGCAUGAGCACCAUCGCCGGCGGCGCCGACUACGAGGCCGACGAGUCGGCCCUCGCAGCGCUGCGCAAAGCCCAGCUACUCGACGUGAGCGCAGAGGGUGAGAAGCUGCUCGCUGCCUUGGGCUGUUUCCUCGGUAGUGCCGCGGCGUCGGCCUCCAUCAACGAUGAUGCACUGCGCGGUGGGCGUCACGGCUCUCAGCGCUCCACCCACGCCGGCAAGCCAGUGACGACAGCAAACGCGUCGAUGGCACGCGGCGGCGGAAUGAAGAAGAAGGCGGAAGACGCCAGCGACGCCGACGACGACGGCAUCACCGGCUCCACGGGUGUCUCGGCAUUCGGUGCGCUGUCGAUGUCAGCCGCGUCCCGAGCAGCUCCCCCGCUGCCGCCGGUGUUUCUCAAGGGCGCUCUUCAUCGCUUACAACUCUUCCUUGCAGUGCGCAACGCCAUGCUGCAGUAUGAGCGGCAGCGACAAGACGCACAAUGGGAGACGCUGCUGGGCAAAGUCAAGGCACGGCCGAGCAGCGGCGACGGCGCCUCCUCCGCGGCCGCAAGCACCAUGCACGGGCUCGGGAGCAGCGGCAAGAAUUUAGCUCGGCUGCACGCCAAGGCGCCCCCGCUCCUGCAAGGCGCGGCUGCCGCGAACCCUCGCACAGACCACAGAGAAGCGCCGCUCGCCUCUGCAGUGGCGGCCCCAUAUUCCUUCGUGCAGAUCCUGCAGCAACAUCAGCUGGACGCCUUGACUGCGGGCGCGUUGUGCCCACUGCGCUGCCAGAUGUGCCCAGCAUUCACGACGCCGCAGCUGCAGCGCGUAGAUGCGUGGAGCUAUGGCCCGUUGCAGCCCACCACCGCCAUUACAACCGCGUUGGGUACCGCGCGCGGCACCGGCAACGAGGGAGGGGCGAAGCACUCCAGCAGGGAGCUCAUCUCUCUCGCCGAACGGGUGAACACGCUGAUUGGGAUUGGGGAAGACGAUUGCCGUCCCGACGAAAACUUGCGUGGGCGCCUCAACCGCAGCCUGAGCUCGCUGUCCCCGCGUAGCCGGCCCAUCACGGCGCUCCUCAUGCGGUCUGACACGGCCAUCGACAUGAUGGCCAGCUCGUGGUACGUGCACGCAAAUAUCAGCCAGGCCAAUUUCGUGGAAGAGCAUGGGCACUACGGUAGCAGCAGCAACGGCAAUGGGGAACGUCAAACCGCCCGCGGAGCUCACCUUCACCGGCUCAUGAAUCCGUGGCAGGCGCGCAGUGCCACCGGCUUGCUGAUGUCAGCCCUGCCGUUUCGCUACUCGCUCUCCAUGCCGCUAGAGGAUGUGCGUCGAGCCGCGCAAGAUGCAAAGCAGCGGCGAGCACUGCGCACCCUGUACGGUAGCUCCGCGGCCGGGGCGGCGGACAAGAGCGUCUCUGACCACGACGACGGCGGCGACAGGUCGGACGACCACCACCCCCGGCGCGGCGGCACUGGUACCGCAGCUGAGAACCUGGCGAGUCUCUACGUCCAUCGUGCAACGCCGCCGCCAGCCAAGCCCAGCUUCUACUAUGAGGUCCAGAUGUCAGUGGAGUAUCUUGUAGCCAUGCACGCGGCCGAUUACCUUGGUGCAACGCCGCUCGCCAUCGGCAGCGAAGCGCUCGCACGUGGCGCGAGCAGCCCUCUCUCCGAGGACGCCAUGCACCGACUGUGCGAGAAUUGUGUGAUAGUCGGGCUGUGCAACCCCAUCACCGCCGCUCAGGCGAACGGGUGCACGCACAGCCCCUCUCAGCCGUAUGUCGUGACGCAUCUAGGCCACGAAUGUGGCGCGGGGGGUGCGGCACAGGAUAAGGAGAGGGGCGGAAGCGGGAGCGGCGCCUGGUCGGCGGGUGUGUCGGUAUCCGUGAUUGCCCACGAAAAAGUGGCGGCGUCACGCCUGCUGUCGGCUUGCGUUACUGCGCACGCCUCGCCAGCAACGGCAACGGCAGCGGUGGUGGAACCCGGUGAGGCAUCGACAACACCGAGCGACGACGACGCCGAUAUCGAUGUUCUCUACUUGGGUGUGUGGAAGCAUCAGCGAAACAGCGUUCGUGCCGUCACGGCGAUGCAAGCAUCGCCCCACCACGUGGACGGAGAUGCUGCGGACGCUUGUGCAAACGCCGCCCCCGUAUAUCUGCGGCUGGAACUGCCGCGCUGGUCGCAUCCGGCGCCGGCGAAAGAGGCAGGGACGACAGCGGCGCAAGAUGCUCCACGCGAUCGCGUUGCAGCCGCCAAUGGCAAUCCAGCGCAUGCCGCCGAAACGAACGCUGCCACUGCUGCUGCGACGGCGAGCACGAACAUGUGGCUGCCCAUCAUCACACGAGCCUGCCAAGAUGACGUGACGAGAGCAGUCGCGAAGGCUCGGCAGCAGCAGCAAGCGGAAGCGGCGCAGGGGACCGCGGCGAAUCAGGCCAGCGAGCGCGCGAGGAAGAGCCGAUGCGGUGCAACUUCUCCCUCUCUCCCUGCAUCACCUUUCGCUUCGUUGACCCGCGUGCGCUGUGAGGUCGCGGCCACGCUGGUACUGGGGCUGCUGCUCGACCCAUCAGCGGGCACACUGCGCCUGCGGCUCAACAACUACACCGACUUCGAGGAGAUCACGUUGGGCCUGUGGCUCGGCAGCGUAGCCGAAGCCACCGCAGCCACGGCAUCAGCUCCACCCCCACCACCGGCGCCGAAGCCUCGCCUCUACCCAGCCGCGACCCUGUCGCUAAACGAUUGUGGCUGGAGAAGCUGGCGUGACCAUCAAACACGCAAGUGGGCAAAGCAGCAGCAGCAGCAGGGGGUUCAGCCGACGGGACUGACGUCAGGCGAAAGGAGAGUCAGGCGCGCGCCAGUGGAAUACAGCGCGCCGCCCUCGUCAGCAUCGUCGCCGUCUUCGUUGCUAUCUGUAUCGAAUGCAGUGCUGCGUUUCAGCUUCGACGCGGCUGAGCUGCUGUUCGGACCCCCACCUCCCCGCCAAGCGGUAAGGAUCACGUCUGCUGACGCGAUCAUGCCUGCCGGGAAAGCCGCGCGCAUGUCUCAUCAGCAGCGGCGAGUCAGCGAACCGAUCGGCGCGAAGGCGCCGCACUCAGUGGUGCCGCCGUUCCAGGCAUCUCAGCCUAUCGCGCUGCUGGACAGCACGGUCAAAUUCACGGAGAUGCUUUCGGUGCUCACAGAUGUGUCACUUCUCGCGGCGACGAAGCGGAGCGGUGACAAGAAUCAGCAACAGCAGCAGCUGCACAGCCUCGGCCACGGCGAUGACGCGGCGGACGAGGACGAGGAGGGCGAGGUCGACGGUGUCGAUGCAACGGCGCCACAAGGUGCUGCGCCGCCGGCACAUUCGUCGCUGUUGCUUAUCGGCUCGCGCGAUCGCCGUACACACGCUGCGAUGAUGCGGGUGCAGCGUCUUCUGAACACUCCUGGAGGCGGUGCCACCGGCACAACAGCCGGAAGCAGCUCCGCCUUCAACAACAGCGACCCCGCGGACAUCUUUUACCCUCCUGUCCGCAUCUACCGGCACAGCUGCCACUGCCCUGCUCAUGAGCUCUAUCCGUUGCCAUCCUCCUCCUCGCUCGGCGCGGCCGACAAAGACGACGCUAGCGAGCGCAGCCGGCGCACACAGAAGUGCCAGCGGUGUCUAGCAAACCGGCGAAUCGGGCUUAGCAGCGCCGGCGAGACGUCAUCGCUCUUCUCAACCAACGUGUAUUGGCACGACAUCAUUCCCGAAAAUGCUCGCCUCACGCCGCUCUGCGCGGCACUCGCGUCGCGGCAGCGGGCCAUGGCGUACGUCAUCGCAACACACCCGCUCACGUGCUUCUGCAACCUCAGUGUCGACGAGGAGAGCGCCUGUGAUGCCUACGCGCGGCAGCAGCAGCCUCAGCAGCGCCGCGCCGCCCUCUACGCAGCGUGUGCGCUUGGCUACAUGGAAGUGGUACAAGUGCUUCUGGAGCGCAUUCCCGUGGAGGAGCUUCUCUCGUACUUUGGGCUUGUUAUCGAGAGCGAGGCGCGCGCGGCGCUACAGCGCUGCUACGCGGUGGCGAACACCGUUUUCUUGCGCAACUACCGACUCCGCUCACUCGCGACCCAGUCGCCGUCGUCGCCAAGCGGUGGCACUGCGGUCGAGACAUCGGCGCCAGCAGUGCCUUAUUUGUCGAAUGAAAGCCAGCGAGCCCUUCUCGACGCCUCCGCCAUCUACUACUCCUCACGGUCCACCUACACCCCGCUGCACGUGGCGCUUCUCGGCGUCGUGCUCGAGAACGGAGAUCAAGACGACGAGGGCGUAGAAGAAGGCAGCUACGUUGAUGUCGACACGGAGGAGGCGCGCAUGUCCUCGCUGAACGCGCGUCUCGGCAAGCAAACAGCCUGUGUAACGGUGUUGCUCAACUGCCUCUACGAUCUACUCUGUGUGGCAUCAGCAUCGAACACAACGGCGCGGAAGGCACAGAACACGGCAGAGCUAGUGCAUCCGCCGCACUCGACGAAGUCGCAUGGGCGAGAGGAAGAUGUGCUGGGGGGUGAGGCGCAAGCACGGCGGCCGUCUUCCGCAGGCCGAGAGCUCCUCGUCGACGCACUCAACCUGCAAAGCCCGACAGGCGAGGCUGCUCUUCUAAUCGCUGUCCGCCACAACAACGUCGCAGUCGCUCUUCGCCUCCUGAAGCUGGGCGCGCAGCCGGCUUGCAUGGAUCGCAUCACGAGGCUGCUCAGCCUCGAGCUUGCCUGUGCGAACCGCUGCACACCGAUUGCAGAGGCUCUGCUGCAGUCCCACAACGGCGGCGGCGCCGUGUACGCCACGUCGCCCGUCCUUCUGAAUCACGCCGGCAUCGCCACUGCGCUGUGCUGGUGCGCCAUCAACAACAUGCCCGCCAUCAUGCAGAAGCUCCUGGAGUGCGACGGGAUCGACGCGGAGAGCGGAUUCGAAGGUAGCUCCCCGCUGCACCUUGCCAUCGCGUUCGGCAGCGAGGCGGCCGCGCUGACGCUGCUCAACGGCACCCAACCGAGGAAAACAGCCACUAUCAGUGCGCGUAAGGGCUCAGGCGGCAGGGCAGAGGCGCCACCGGCAGCUCUUGUCGCGGCCGCAACCGCCGCACCCGACACCAAGACGGCAUCGUUAGCGGCAAAGCACGUGAACUGUGGCUCCAGUCAACGCGGUACCGCGGCACCGUCUGCCUCACCGGCGCGGCCAACAGAGACCGUCUCCGCGGCUGAGACACACAAGAAGCCCUUUAUGGAUGUCAACAUACUUCACGAGCGCACUCACUGCACACCGCUGCACCUCGCCUGCGAGCGCGGGCAACUGCGCAUCAUACGCACUCUUCUGCAGUCGUGGCACGCUCAGCUGAACAUCGCGGCCGCUUACACCAACUACACGCCGCUCCUCACGGCGGUGGCGAACGGCCAGGAAGAGGCGGCGCUUCGCAUCCUCGAGUACAGCAAGGACGAACUCCGCCGCGGCCGCGCAGUGCUGGAUCUCUGCGCGAUCGAUCAGCACGGCGACACCGCGCUGCACCUGGCUGCGAGUCGCGGGCUGAAUCUCGCGGUGGAGUACAUGUUGGUUCAGUUCAGUGAGGAGGAGGUGGCGCGGCUGGUAGCCCUGCAUCCCACGUUACGUGCAUCGCCUGCGUACCAGGCAGCGACAUGUAUAGUGCCCCUGCACGCUGUGAACAAGCAUGGCAAAACGGCCUUGCUCGUCGCUCUGCAGUAUAACCAAGCCGACACGGCCGAGCUGCUGGUGAGCAUGCUUAUCGACAGCGCGGAGACUCUGGAAGUGGGAGACGCCGCGGCGGCGUUUGGAGGUGAUGGUGGUCCCAAGGCGCCUACUGCGAUAACAGAUGCUGGAGAGGCGUCAUGCAGUACAUCUGCAGCCGCCGCUGCAUCGGCGCCCUCGCAGAUUGGUGGCCCUCUUAUCGAAGGUACCUGCAUGGCCCUGCACCAGGCGCACAGAAAGCAUCUGGACUCCGUGGUGCAGUUGAUGCUGUCCGCCCCGCCCAGCCUGUUUCCAUGCACCGCUGCAUUUUGCAAGUCGGUGCAGCUGUACAAGCAGCAGCAGGCGGACGGACGGCGCUCGGGGGCGCUGCUGAGGAGCGAGACGUGCGACGGCGACGUCCGUCCAGCCUUCGUUGCGGAUGCAAGCACUGUCCCGGUGCUGGCGAGUGAGCGAAACGAAAACGCGUCGCAGCGCAGCCCCGCGAUGGCGCAGGAUCGAGGCUCCUUCGUGCGCCUCCUCCUCACGCGCGCCGCCGGCCCCACCAUCGCGCCGAACGACGCUCUGCGCGUCCUGCUGCGCGGCUUCGCGCUCCCUGAGUUGUGCGUGUACCUCAGCGAAGUGGCGGCGGAGAGCGCCGUGCUGGGGGUGCAACGAAGUACAGCAAUGGCGGACGCGGAGCUCGUGAUUGGCUACUUGCAAGAGCACGCUGGCUCGGUGGUGGCGCCGACGCGGGCAGUUUUGUUCUGCCGCGACGUGUGGCUGUGUCUGCAGCAAUGGAUGUACAGUGAAGCGUCUGCCGAACGCGAGCGCGCCGCGGUAUCGCGCGCUCAUCACGCCUUUAGUAGUAGGACCACCGACUCCACUUACUCGCAGCUGUCGGUGGGCAUAGAGAAGGGCGGCGAGCGCAGGCAGAAGCAGCAACAGCAGUGCGAGCUCGAGGAGGCACCAAUGGGUUGGCUUUGCCGCAUGCUGCUCGUCCCCAAGUCCGGCGUUGGCAGUCACGCACAUGGUAAGGCUGCGCAACCGAAGUCGGCAUUGCCGGCGAGCGCGUCGAACUCCUCUGCGCUCUCUGCUGACGCGUCUAGCGCGGCGCAAGAGGCAGAGCACUACCGCCACGCCUUAGAGGCGACUCUGAACCGCAAAACGCUAAGUCUUGAGGUGGCGCGUAUGAUUCGCCUUUACGGCCGCUCUCACGGCGGCGCAAGGGCCAUCGAAGAAAUCAAGAGCAUCGUGGCAGCCUACGUGAGGGCACAUAUCAACGAACCUGCUGCGCACGUGAGGCUGACAACGGCGGCCGCCACAGCGGCUGCAGUGGCAACCUCGGCCACGCUGAGUAGCAGCAGCAAGCACUCCUCCUUUUCGGUGCGCACCCGCUCGAGGGCGCAGAGCUUCCGAGAUGUGGUCGAGCAGCAUGCCACAUGGAACAGGGACGGCACGGUGGACUUAGACGCAACGGAAAGAGAAUUCUCCGAUCGCAACUCCAUUGACGUUAUCGGCAACGAGCCGCUUUUCACGACGCCGAUGGGCUUCACCGUAUUGCAGCUGGCAGCCACGCUCGGCCUCCCGGAAGUUGUCGCGUUCCUCGUGGAUACUUACAAUCUGAACCCUUUGUACGCACCGGCGCAAGGCAUGCAUACGUGCGUCCCGCAAUCAACGACGCCGCCGCCGCAGGCCAACCGCUCCAAAGAGGGAACGCGGAAAGAAGAGGCUGCGCGGGUGCGUAACGUCGUCGUGCACAGCGUGCGCGCCGUCGUCGGAGUGGCUUCUCCGUGCGCAGGCCGCGGUGACUACGGCGGCGCCAAUGGCAGUGCUGGCAAGAGCAGGGAGGAUGCCGGCUUGUGGAUCUGCUGGACUCCGUACCGCCUCGCCGUGCGCUCCGGCAACCUGCACAUUGUCAAGACUCUCCUGCUGGCAGGCAGCGGCGCGGCACCCGCGGUUGCGGAAAUCAACCCCCGGGAGCUAUGUGGCACCAGCACCUUGGCCCGGCUUUCGCACUCGGACAGGCACGUCGAAGACGGCGUUACUUUCAGCGGCGCAGGCGCGACGGUCUCGACGGCGAUCUGCCCUGCUGCUUCUCUUGUCGACUACAAGGAGCCGGCGUGGCUCGACCCAUAUCAGCGGACAGCGCUUCAGGAGAGCAUUGUGGUAGCGACAAGGUGUGGCAGCGGUGCCUCGGGCAGCGACUCGCUUGUAGACUCUCUCACCUUCACCGCCUCCGCCGGCUUGUCGUCUUCCAGUGUCGUGACCAAGACCGCCCCUUCGCUGUCAGAGGCUUUGGCGCUGGUGCGCCUGCUGCUGAAGCACGGUGCUCAGUCGAACGGGCUCUUCGACAGCACCGGCAGUGAUGCCUGGCUGCUUGCCAUGGCCGGCAGCGGCGCAGCUGAUCUGCCCAUCACGCACUACAGCUACGCAGCCGACUGCAAGCGCAGGCCGUACAGCGCUGGCUCUGAAGCGUCCCUCUCUCAGCUCUCCUUAACGGGGGCGUCUGCGCCAGCGACGGCGUCGCUGGCGUUGAUCCGGACGACUGCUGGCGAGGCGGCUGGGCAGCGGUGUGUCGACUUGCUCCGCCUCCGCGCUCCGUUGCUGGGGUGUGCGCCGGCAACUCUGCGUCGCGCUGACACUCACCUUGAUGGCAGGCGCCUCGACGGACCGCAGGAGAGCGCUGAGAGCGACUGCUUCAACGAGCAGCUUCUGCGCCACCCACGCCGCCUCCUGCACCAGUGGCGACGUCUGCCCUGCAUGCAGCUCGCGCCUACCAGAGCAGCUGCCGCAGGAUUUGCUCGAAGAGGCCGGCGGGCCGCAGGCACCGUUGGAAACGUCCACGACGGCAGCGGCAGCGACGAAGGCAACGACGCUGCGGGCGAGGAUGGCGACGGCGCCGCCGCUCAGGGCUACUCGGUGUUCGAGCAAGCGGAUGCCCUGUGUGCGCAGUACGAGAAGGUACAGCAGACCCUGCACCCGAGUGCCGCGAUGGCCAUUCCACGCGUCGGUGGCGGGGUGAGGCCGUGCACCCCCUCACCGCAGGCGACGGCGCUUGCUACAACAGUCUCCUUCGCAUCUCUCUUGACCAUCACCUCGGCGGAGGAGGUAACCCUCUUGCCAAGCGCCGUGGCUCCAGGGGGCGCGGUAACGCUCAACCGCAGGGUGCUGGCGGGCGGAUCUGUGUCAAGGACAAACAGCGUCGCGGGAAGAGAGACCGGGACGUCGCCGCUCACGCCGUCCUUCUCGGCCGAUUCACUGAAGACGCGACUCAUCGCGGCGCUGCGGCUUUGCUACCGCGUCGUCCUUCUCUACACAUGCGUGGAGUACACACCGCUGCAGCUUCUCCGACUCGUGCGCGCCUUCGGCGCGGCGGCAAUCCCGGUAAGUGCGCGUCACCCACUAAGCGGCGACAGCGUCGCUACACGACUGCUGCGCAAGACGCACGCUCACCUGCUCGCCAGGACAAGUGGAGGCGGCGGCGGUGGCGACAGCAGCACCAGCAACACUCUACGCGGGGAGCUCGGGAGCGAUGCUGCGUCUGUUAUGAUGCGCGGCGCCGACGACAUGUCGCAGCUGCCGCUGAGUGUGCUGAAGGAGCCGCCGUGCACCGACGACCCGGCCGCGGAUGCAGAGACGCGCGCCUUGGUGGACACGUGUGUGGCGCUGGUGCACAUGCUCCGCGACGCUGCCCUACGUCUGCCCUCACCUCCGUCAGCGCCACAGUCGCAAGCGGCAGCCACGGCGGCCGGGCAAGCACUGCGCUCGGUGCUCUUCCAGCCCUCGUGUGACGGGGAGACCGCGCUCUCCUUGGCCGCGCGCAUCGCCCACGCGCCGCUCAUCUCUGUCCUAGUGCAGAGCGGGGCAGCCGUAUCCUCGGCUUCUCACAAUCGCAGCCAAGGCGGAGAUGAGUCGUGGCGCUGCUCGCGCACAACGUGCAGCGUGCCUUGGCGAGGCGACGGCAGUGACACCGAGGCAGGUGGUGAGGGCGGUGUUGGCGUGUACGACGUCUCCGGGAUUCCGGUCACCUCUAACUGCUCCCUGAGCACGAAUCUGGCCGACGUCGUGGUACGAGUGCUGCUCGCCACCCGCGUCUACUACCCUGCGCAUGAGAUCGGCACCGUGCGUGCCUUGCUCACGCAUAUGCCGAACGAGCCCGCGCGGCGAGCCUUCCUGCGGGGUGUGUACCCGAACAUCCACCCACUGCCAGCGCUGCAGCUUGCGAUGGACAACGUGAGCAUCGCAUCGGGCUUCCUGACGAGCCCUGACUGCAUGAACGCGCUCUGGACGAAUCUGUUGUACGCGCACUUCACGGGCCAGCUGGACACCGCCGUGCGGACGACGGCAAAGGCGUGGAGCGAGCUGCUGCACGUCGUACUUCCGGGGGCGCCGGCAGUGCCAAUUUACCUCGUCAUGUGCGCCGCCGUCCGCGAGGAGGUGAGUGCCGAGGAGUUGAAGGCGUCUCACAGUGGUGUGCGUGCACAGAGCCCGCAGGUGACGCCAUCGCCGCCGCAGUCGCUUGCCGGCUCGACGAGAUCGUCGAGCAUGGUAAAGAAACGGUCAAAGGAACGCACUGUGCCAUCGGCGAUACCGAACUGGUCUCAUGUUGUGCGCCGCACGAACCUCUUCCUGCAGCUCAUGGCCAUGUCUGCAGCUGAGACGCUCAUGAGCAAGGGCAGCAAACCAUCGUCGCACGUGUCGGCAGAUGCGAGAACUCUCUCCUCUACUGCCGCGGCAGCCUCUGGGAGUGGGCAGCGCACCAAGAGCGCGUCGUCACCGCUGCACGAGGUGACAAAGAAAGGUAGUUUCGCUGCGUUGACGGAUGUUGGCGAGCCUCCAUUGCAUGGGCUGUCUGGCACCUUGUUGUGGGACACCAUCGAGCUCGCCGUGCGCUACGACGACAAGGACAUGUUGCGGCACCUCUUGCAGCUUCGCCUGCCAGACAUCGUGCUCACGCACAUCGGCAACAUCCAGUCCCAGCAACAGACGCUGUCGUCGACCGGCACCUUUGGAAGGGCAUACUCGUCCAUGGACGUGAGCGCGCGUGCAAUGGAGGCGGUUUCGAAGACCAUUCUCGACAGCUACCCGUCCUUUGCCGGCGUGAGCACCACGUCGCAGGCAACGCUCGUGCUCGAGCGGCUGCAGCGCCUCCUCUGGCGCGAGGCACUGCAAGAGCGUCAUGUCGACCUGCUUGCGGUCGCCGCAGGAAGCAUCGAAACGCUGCGGUUCCUGUACACGUCCUCACCCCCUGAGGUGCGCGCACAGAUGACCCCGAUGCGCUAUGACCGCGUAGACGUGAAGAGCGGGAUGCCGGAGGGCGUGUCGCCUGCGCCAGACAUCGUGGCCCCCGCCGCGGCAGUGCCCGCCGGAGCCGAGGAACUCUUGGGGUCCUUUCAGAAGUUAAGGAAGUCAAGUUCUGCACGGGUCGGCAGCGGCGUGAUGUCACCGUCGCCGCAGGUCUUUGUUGUUUCGUCAAAGGUGGAGACGCAUGCGACAGCCGCGCACCAGCUUACGAAGACUCCCUUCUCCGCUAGCACCGCGUCCGCCACGCCUUCAGCGGAUGGCGUGGCUCGGUUGGCCGUGCUGACUCCGGAAACGCCGACCUCGCCCGUCUCGCCAGCGGCGAAGCGGACAUCGCCAGCACUGGCUGUGGACAUUGUAGAGACGCCCGAUGAGCGAAGCCUCACACUGCCACUCGCAGACGCGCCGCUACUACAACCCAAGGCGAGCGAGGAUAAGGAGGAGGAGAGUGCCGCUGCCGUCGCGGAUGCUGAGCUGCGCUUCAUGGAAAGCUGCGUGCAGAACGGACGCCGUCGUCUCGCCCCGGGCGAAGAGCGACGCCGGUGCGUAACAGCGGUGACAUGGGGCCUCGGCGCGGCUGCCUGCUCAGUGAAGCUGCCGAUGGUCCAAUCCAGCGCGAGGGCCGUGUCGGCCUCCACCGCGGGCACCGCCGAGGCGGCCACCGCGCCAGGUACACGAGUAGAGGUGCAGCCGCGCCGCACACCGUCACUACUACCACAGCUGCCGCGGCCGCCCGCUCAACGCCGCAUCACCCUAGAUGGCAAGAUUGGUGAUGUUGGCCCCGUUAAAGACAGCCACCAGGCAAUCGCCGAUGGGGAGAAGACUGCAGCGCGACAGGUCGUGCAGCGCCGAGGGCGGGCGAAGACUUCGCUUCCCACGAAGGCAUCGGCUGCAGCGAAGGAGGCUAGCGGGCCGGCACCGUCCAGUCCAACGCCGCCGGCGGUGGUGGAGCCAGAGCCGGUCUACUUCAUGUACCUCCAGCUUGAUUGGGCUCUACAUUCGACUCGGCUCCUUCGCUCGCCUCGCCCCUCCAGCGCCACGCUCGAGACAAUCAUGUUCCUGCUGGAUCAGCGAGUGGCUCUCUCGGUGCCCGUACUUGACCUCUUCCUGGCUGGCACCGUCGCCCCCAGCAGCGCCGAAGCAGCGGCGCCACAGCAGCACUCCAGUGAUGCGUAUGCGCGGCAGGAGGUCGCCCUCAGCCUUCGCUACCAGACCCGGGCACAUCUUGACACGCUGCUCCACCUGCUUGUCCUUCACGACCAGUGCCAGCUGGCGGAGUACUACCUCGAGUACUGUCAUUUCUGGUUCGUGUCCAAUGAGCUUGACCCAGAGCCAGUGAGCGGGCGGCCGGGUCGCUUCCCAAUCGGCCAGCCUCCCGCGUCGCCCGACGGCGAUUCUAGCGAGGACGACCUCAACGAUGAUGACGCUCACCUGUGUAGCGAUGUCAGGUAUAUCGGCCAUGACAAGCAGAAGCGAAGCACGCGUUCGAGCCAGCAGUUUCGGCAUCGCUCUCGCGGCUCCUCUUCCUCGGCGUACGCCGGGACCGUGCCGCGCGAGUUUCUGCGGUGCAUGCUCCGAGUGAACGCGCACGGGCUGACCGCCUUCGACUAUGCUCAUACGCCGGCGAUGCUGCAGCUUCUCGAGUGGUACGGCUGCGUGCCGCCCACGUACCGGCCAAACCCGCACGCCUUCCGACGAGUUGUCUUUCUCAACCGCGGAGGGCAUGGUGACGUGAGGGAAGCGUACACUUUCGCGGACAACAUGGAUGAUCACGACAACGACGAAGCGGUCGAUCGGCGACAAUCUGCAAGUGUUAGGACGUCGAUGAUGGCGCGUCGCAAACGCGAGGUACUGCGUUUCUUCCCUGUGCCGCGCCUGGUCCUGGCGACCGACAACUUUGUGGCGCUGCUGGACCCCACCGGCACAGAGCUGGCGUCCACAGUCGGCUCCGUGGCGACCGCCCAAGCGCGCACCGCUGCCUCGGGCACCGCAGAUGGAAGGCGCUGCAAUGGUGAGGAUGACGCGGACGAGAGUCUCGCCAAGAAUGAAGUUCUGGUGUCGACCCGCACGCAACCGCUGCAGCUGAGCGAUCGCCGCAUAGACGCCAUGAUCAGCACGGAGCGGCGACAGCUGCAGGUAAGCGAGCGGCGCCACCACCAGCAGGAGCGCGCCAGGGCGCUUCUGUUUGAGCAGGUCGCUGCGCAGUCCCAAGCACUUGUCACGCGCAGAGGUGGAAAAAGCGGUGGAGCAGACGAAUCGGUGAGAGAUGGCGCGCUGCCGUACCUGACGCGGGCCGUGACGGCUCACCGGCGCCAGCAGUGGGAGUUGCAGCGGCACCCGCCUUGCAGCAAGAUGACGCUGUGGCACAACGCCCUUGAAGCGCAGCGACUGUCUGGGUCCGCCUUCACCGCGACAUCGUCUCGCGGACGACUGAAGCGGCGAGCCGAGGGCGGCGCUCGUGGCAGCAACGGUGGUGGCGCUGGCGUUCUUCCAAUCCUGCUCAGCGAGGAGGUGAGCCUACUGCACCUCGGUCUGUGCUCUUUCGAAGAUGAGCUUGUUCGCCUCUACGGCGAACUCCACACGGCUUCUGCAUCCGCAUCAGCAGCUGGCAACGAGGACACCAGUGGCGCUGCACGCGCGCAUCGCACAGUCGGCGAGGAAGGUGGGGCCAUCAGCGACGGCGACAACGCCGCCUCUGUCCUGAGCGCCUACAGCCGUCUGCUGCUGCCGCCGUCGGUCACUGACAAGCCCGCAACGCACCCGCACCAAGGCCUCGAGGAAGUAAAGCGGAGCUACGGCAUGAUGUCUGGAGACGCCCCGCCAGAGACGGACAAGUCAAACAGCUCACCCAGGACGAAGGCGAGCCGCACUGGCUGCACCGUGCUGCCUCGUGUUUCGUUCCCAGGUGGGUCGAUUGGGGGCGCGUUGUCGCCGACGCAGCAGGGCAACAAGCCCUCCUCCGUCUCCGCCGCGAACGCCUUCAUGGCGGCUUCGCAGGACUUCCGAUCGUGCGGUAGGGCACCGGCACUGCCGCCUCGGCUGUCGCAGAUGGAUGUGGUGUUCCUCCUCGAGUGUCAGCAAUUUGUGGUGUACCCACUCUCGAUGCCCAGCACCGGCGACGCCGUGGAGGUGGUCAACGACGGCGGCGACGACACCUACGACGAGAGCAGCAAGCCACGCAGCAGCGCGAAAGGCGGCGGGGGGCUCAGCGACAGCAUUGGCAACUCCAGUCGCACCCCCAGCAAUGACGAAGGGAAUGUCGCGCCCCCUCGUCUAUCUCUUGGGAAGGGGGCGGCCAGUUUCAGCGAGUUACCUGCCGUGAUCGAGCGGUGCACCGGCGGUAGCAUCGGCACGGACGAGCAACGUGUAAAAGGGGCUGGCAAGGACGCGCCGCGUCAGCGCGCACCGGCCCUCGCAACAACAACGCGUGACAUCGCUGGUCGCUCUCCUGCUUCCCCACACAGAUCACCCGCGCGUCGCGAGCAUGGGGACAGGAUACGUGAUGCGCCACCGAGCGACUUGCCGCUGCUACGCUCUCUUCUGGCGCGCAAGGCCGCGGAUGAUCUGUCGUCGGAGCUGAUCGACGUCUCGGCGCACCGCUACGAAGCGGCGCUGCUGGUGUCCCUCACUCCAAUGCUACUCUCCGGCAUCAGCGGCGACGGCGCUCCUGGGGCUCGCGUUUCGGCGGCCGCGACAAUGAGGAACUUGGCGGCCAAGCUCAUGCACACGCGCUGGAAACAGUUCGGCAGCCGGCCCAUCAUCUCAGGCACCAACACCGAUGCCGCGACCACUGCGACAGAGGCGGUGGCGCUACUGAACGUGCCCCCGUUCACUCUAGCUGACGCUCCGGCGCUGUACCCGAGCGGGGCCCCGUUUUCAGCCUCACCAGCGGCAGAUGAGCCCGGAUCGGUGGCGUCGACGACAGCACUAGGCGCUGCCGCAGCACGUGUGCCAACCGUCAUAGCGGCGCGACUAGAAGAGUGGGUAGCGCGUCGCUGGCCCCUGCAAAGACAAGCACCGCCCUCCCCGAAGUUGCACAGGAAGGCUGGCGGUCGAGCAGGCACGACAUCUUCGCGAUCGCCUCCCACAAAGACGAUUAAAGCCUGCAGGCAGGAGAACGAGGACGAGAACACACAGGACAGAAACGGCGUUGAUGCGGACGGCUACGACGACGAGUCAGCGGCCACGUCGGUGCUCGAUCGGAUAGAACCCGUCGGCGGAGUUGCCACAGCGGCUCAGCAAGUCCUCAUGCGUGCGUUGCUGAAGCGCUUUACCGCCGCGACAGGUGCGCAGCUGUCUGAGCAGAUGGGGCUCGUCAUCACUCCCAACUACGAUGUCGCCGAGGUCGGCGACACAGCGGCGGCGCUGCGAGACAUCGAAGCGAAGGUCGCCGCACCGGCGGCGGCGCGAAAGAAGCGGCGAUAAGAAACUCGGAAAAUGAAAAGUAGACGCGCGUAUGUGCCUGCGCGGAUGGGCGUGAGGAGGCGGUAUCCGUUCCUUGCCGCUCUCGCUUUUUUUUUUGACGUCGUUGUGUUUGCAAUCUCGUGCGACAUGUCGGCGAGGUGAUGGCGUCCGUCACGAGAGGAAGCCACCGUCUGGCUCUUCACGCCGUAGGUGCCCUCCCCUGCCCUUUUCUCUUUCCGCUUGUACGCUGCCGCCUCACUCUCUCUCCAUGUACACAUAGCCGUAGUCUGUCGCGUGCGCGCUCAAUGCAUAGCAACGGCAUACAUGUGCCAAAGAAC